Molecule: ribosomal RNA, 301 nt
Filed under: uncultured bacterium
Lineage: Bacteria
Description: partial 16S ribosomal RNA
Rfam family: Bacterial small subunit ribosomal RNA
Source: RNAcentral
CAGUAGCCACGGGAACACGGAGGGUGCAAGCGUUAAUCGGAAUUACUGGGCGUAAAGCGCACGCAGGCGGUCUGACAAGUCAGAUGUGAAAUCCCCGGGCUUAACCUGGGAACUGCAUUUGAAACUGUCAGGCUGGAGUCUUGUAGAGGGGGGUAGAAUUCCAGGUGUAGCGGUGAAAUGCGUAGAGAUCUGGAGGAAUACCGGUGGCGAAGGCGGCCCCCUGGACAAAGACUGACGCUCAGGUGCGAAAGCGUGGGGAGCAAACAGGAUUAGAUACCCCGGUAGUCCCUGUCUCUUAUAC